Molecule: long non-coding RNA, 6309 nt
Filed under: Capsella grandiflora
Lineage: Eukaryota; Viridiplantae; Streptophyta; Magnoliopsida; Brassicales; Brassicaceae
Description: long non-coding RNA (CGRA_LNC000784)
Source: RNAcentral
CGACCUGGUUUCAUGAUUCCUGUGACACAUCUCAACACAUGCUUACCAUUGGACUUCAAGGUAAGAGUUAAAUCUUUAAAAGAAAGCUCUAAGAGAGGUCUCUUCCUCGUCUCAGUAUUAGUAGCCAUUGAAACUAUUCCUGAAAAGGUAAGAUUCUUAUUCUCUUGCUCCAUGGCUUUCUCCUUCUCAAUCCGAUCAUACGCAUACUUGAAGAUUUGGCUGCGCGUUUUCUUAGUUUUGGCCAAAUUCUGUCUUUUUACUCUCUUUCCUUCUAUUUCAAGACUUGCUCUUCCAUUACUUACGGCGGCUGCAUCAUCUUCGAUCUCAUAACUAGAUUGCGCAGCAGAGGAACUCGCAGGACUUGAAUAUUUUGACAUGUCUAUAUCUUCAUCUAUCUCAGAAGAGUCCCCAGGACCCAACAUCUUGUGGCUAUCCCCAUCCUGACUGGAUUUUUUACCUGAAAAUGUCCGACUUAUUUGCGCACGGAUCUCACUUACAUGCUUUUUUGCAGCCUCUCUAGCAGCUUUCCAUCUCUGAUGAGCUUUCGCUUUCUUCACUGCUGCUUCUCUUGAUUUCGCCUGCCUCCUUUCCCUCGUCGUUAGGAUUUGAUCGGAACAAUUGUAGAUAAUGAGUAGAAUAGUACUCACUGCAGCCUGCACAAACAAAUUGAACGCCACUAAGAUUUUAGUGGAAAAUCUUAGUCUUGGGUAUUCAAUAAUAACUGAAAAAACUUACGAUAACCAUAACCCCAAAUGCAUGCAUGUUCUGAUUUGCUGUGUUGGGAUUGCAGGACGUUAACUUAAAGCAGGCUGCAAAAGACAAGACUUACUUAAUAGAUUAAAAGACUAGCAGAUGGAACUAGUAAACAUUACUUGGUUAUGUGACAACAAGCAAUCAUGAAUAUUAGAUGACGUACGUUUCUCAGAUGUCGACCCCAUUCUGCAAUAGUGCCUAAAUCAACAUUAAAGGUAUAACCAGUUAAACUAUAAACAGUUUGAAACAGAAUAUGAUUCUCAGCUAGAUCAUUAAUUUGAUAUAGCAUAGUAAGUAGUAACACAAGGUUGACGAAAUAUUUUCAAGAUCAAAUGGAGUUUAAGGGGACCAAAAAAUGAAUACCCACUAUCGCAAGGUACUUUAUGAGUGGUGGUUGGACAAUACGACCCUGCGGAACAGAAUACUUCACCGCUGGAUCUAAUGUCGGCCCAUACAUUCGCACCUCCACAAGUGUGGUUCGGUCGUCCUGGUGGUAAUUGAUAAGUAUACCUAUAGAUUUGACAGUUUAACAUCUUUAUCUUAUCCCGCAAUAAUAUCACAUUAGUAUAUUUUGCAUCUAAGAUGGAAUAAAAAACUUACGGUUCACAUAAGCUUGUAGUCUUAUUAAGGGUAGCUAAGGGACAAUGAGCACCAAGAGGACAAGCUUUUCAAAACAGAACAAAAAUUCAGAAACAGUGUUAGUUAAACCAUAUAGAUAACUAAGAUGAGAAAAGCUUAUAAACCAUGAAGGCGUUAUGAAUUGCUUACGUAUCAUACAGGUGAGGCCACGAGGGCAGAAAAACCCUUCACAGCAAGCCAUACAGUUUUCUGUUCUUCCAGGAAACUCUUUGGAGUUUUGCAGGUCAACUUGUUCGUUUGGAUCAACACUACAGCCCCAUCCAGGUUCGCAGCCAGAGGGCCAUGAAGUCAAGUUGCAAUUUACAUUUGGUUGCAAGUGGCCCGGGUCAUUCGAUUUAUUGAAAAAUGUAUUAAAAUAGAACUUCAUCUCUGCUGCUGUACAGAUACGCCUAUUAAUAUCACCUGUUACAAACCCAAAAUGUGAACACAUGAAAAAGAUAUGAAAAUUAUGUCAUCAGAUUAACUCCAAGAACCAUAAGAAACAUGAGAAUUUUGCAACAACAAUAUUUGAUGUUCCUAUAAAAACAUUACAUCGCCGCUCUUCCAUCUUGUUUUAACAACCAAGUAAUAGUCAGUACCUUUGGUUAUCUGAAUGCAAGCAGAUAAGAAGUCUAAGUUGGUGGAGAAGUUAAACGCUCUGUUCCAAUCAGCAUCCCUGAGAUUGUGAUUUCAACAAAAGAAUAAAAUAUCUCACAAGACUUACGUAAGCUAAAAGAAAUAUUUCACCUAAAGCACCUACAGUUAAGCAAGUGAAGCUAUCAAUGCAUGAACUAUACUAAGAUCAAAGAAUUGAAAGUUCCACAGUGAUACAAGUCUACAAAAUUAGAAAUCAAAACAAAGCAAAUAAAGUGCCAGAUUGCAGUUUAAGAGAAAGAAGACUGACGGGUCUUUGACGCAAAACUUUGCUCUGGUACCGAGCUCACGAUUAAGAGCAGCAGUGCUAUUAGAAAGCUUGCGGUAAACCAUCUGUGUAACGAGUGGAAGAACAGCUGGAUUAUCGAACUCACUGGUGUCCCCAAUAGUUUGACCAUUACCAACAUUAACAUAACAAACCAACCACAGAAGCAAGAUCACCAAUCUGAGAUUAGAUCCAAGUUUGAGCCAACUUUGCCGGUUCACGCUCAUCUUGAGAUUCAAAAGCCUUAAAGGACACAUAACAGAAAGUGAAUAAAUCAGAUGCAAGAUAACAACCAACAAAUACAUAAACAACCUUGCUUGAUUUAUCAAAAGAGAAGGCUUUUUCAAUUUUUAAAAUGAAACGUUUGAGACAUUGUGAUUUGUGAAUGGAGAGGGAAGAAACGUGAAGGAAGUUGGAGAAACGAUGGUGCAAAUACCAAAACGGUGAUCUGCUUAGUGUACGACGAACGUGACUGAACAAUGUGAAAAACGACCCAUCUUAAUUUCAUUAAUCAAUUGUUAAGCUUGAUUUUGGGGUUUACUACAUAAAGGUUGAGUCUGUUCUUUUGUCUUAUCACAUUACAUUACAAUUAAGCAGAAACGAACUCCAAAACAAUCUAAUUGAAGAAAUUAAGAACCCAGAAACUUAAAGUUGCUUGCUUUGUCUCCAGAUCACAUCAAACCCCAUCACAAAAAUUGCAAGUUUUGAUUUUUCUUUCUUAGAUUCUAGAACUCAAAUCACCCUAAACUCCAUAGACUAAAGGAACUAAACCAGGAUUCAAUGGAAGAGAAAGAAAAGAAACGUACAUUGUGACUUGUGAGGCGUUGAAGUUCAUGACUUGGGAGCUGGAGAAUCCAUGAAAAUAAAUAAUGAAGUUGCCAAAUUCUCGGGGAAGCUUAUUAAAGUAGUAGGGGUCUACAAAUCUUGAGAUAAGCAGAUUAAUCUGCCAUCAUUGUUGUCAUUGACCUCGAUAAGAAGGAAGAAGGAAGAAGAAGAGAGUGCGUUGAAUGAUUCAUUAGGACAAGGAAAGAACAUGUAGACCUAUUUAUAAUUACAGUUAACUAAAUCGAUAAAAAGCAUCAACCUUUACUGUUGAUUAAGGAAUAUAGAUAUUUUCUUUCUAAGUAAAAUGAUAUAAAAUAUGUUGUAAUGUGGCAAUAUGCCCAAAUAUAUUGUUGCAUAGAAAAUACAAUUUCCGUAAUUUUAGUAUCAAAAAUGCAGAUUUCUCUUCAUAUUAAAUAUAAACAAAAAAAAAUUAUGUAAAGAAGUCAUUUCAAAAUUUUAAUCCUGACAUCUUGUACAUAAAUUGUAAUUCACUAUUCUAUAUAAUUUGUAGAAUAAUAAUAGUAAUAAUUUGAUUUCAUGACUAUAAAUUAUUACACAAUAGAGAAAAUUUGAAUAUUCGUCAUCUCAUCAAUCAUCAUGAAGAAUUAAAAUUUAGGACACUUGCGGAUUCGUCCGUAUGUUUACAACCGACUGGUCCCAUGGUUUAAUGAAUUUUGCUGACCCAAAAUUUUGAAGACAGGAAAACACUGAAAUUUUAUUUUUUUUUAAAAUAUCAAAAGGAUGACUUUGUUCAUUUGGAAUGCAUUUAUUUUUGGCCAAGACCGUUUAAACAAUGAUGGAGCUUUAUACUAGUAAUCAAGAUGAACAAAACUAUAGUCUUCUUCUACCGAGGCAGCUUCAGAUUCUUGGGAACUAUAUAUAUAAGUGCAGGUAAAAGCCGUAAAGGGAGACGAUCUUUCACUACUUCUUUUGAAGUAUGAUCAUCCCCGCAAAGGCAAUUCCACGAGUGGCCACACCUAUGAGAAGCAAUAUCAUUAUACACAAAUUCCAGUUGUUUAUGUCGUAGCCACUCUCGAUAAGCAUACCACAUCGCGUAAUCAUCCAUACUCCAUAGUACCUGAAAUCCACUAUAUGAAUCAAAACAGAGCUUUUGAAAGGCUACUUCUUUAUCCUUUUGUUCCAACGUACCUUUGAGCAUUUCCUAUUACAAAUGCCUCCAAAGCCCACUUUGGAUAACUCAAAUCAGCCAGGAUCCUAAUAGCUUCAUUAUUCUUCGUAGGUUGGGUUGCAACAAGUGUUAAAACGACUGGAAUAAGAGCAGAAAACUGCAAAAACAAACAAAAUCCCCAAAAGUUGGUCGACUAGAAUGAAUAGAGAGCAUGCAUGUGGUUCUUUCUUCAAAAGGAAACUUAAAAAUAAAACUCACCAGUUGGGCUGUGCUUGGUUGGAGAAAGAUAGCCAACACAUAUGCAAUACCGGUCACACAAUAUACGAGGCAGACCAAAACGAUAUAGGUAUCGAAAAAUGUGGAUCUCGGAUUUGUAAAAAAAUAGAACAUAGAGAGAUAGACCAAUGGCUUGACAAAUAUAUUGAAAGAGUCUAUUGUAUCUUUGGCAAGGAAGCAGGCCAAGCUACUCAUCCCCGAGGCACUUUCUCUCCAGUAAUGUAACUUGUCUAGUGAGAAUGAUCUCAAAGCUGCUAUUUUGCAAAGAAGAGCUGACAGAAAAAAAAGAAGAAGAAAAAAGCAAACGAUAAUCAGAUUUAUAAGAAACUUCUCAGGACUAGAUUAAUAGAGGAUCCAACUUACAGACUGCGAUCGUAGUUUGGGUGUAACCAGGGAUUCCAAAGCUCUCAUCAUUUGCUUUAUUAAGUAAUCCUAAACAAACUCCAGCAAGCAACAAUAUCAUAUAGUCUGUGGCUUGUAAUGUAGCUUCUCUCAUUCGCUGCUUAGCUAUCCUGAAAUCAAGAACAUUGUUCUGCUUUAUUCGGACAUCCAAGAAUCAAUUCAUCGUAACUAAGUCGUGGAAGAAGCAAACCUUCCAAGGAAAUAUUUGUAUUGUUGCAACAUAAGAGGGGUUCUUCUAUGGGAUAAAUCUCUAGACUUCAAGAAGUUAUGCCGUAUUAUAGGAUUCGUUUCAAUAUCUGAUGGAACAGAGUAACCUUUGUGACGAUUCCACCUUUCAGGAAGCUCUUUGUAACCAACAGAAUCCCCCAUUGACGUCACAAUGCCUUCAAGAACGUCUAUGUAAUAGUCAGGAGGAUUGAUACGGUCUGGAACAUUUAUUCCCAACCCUGAGAAGUAUUCUUCGACUUCGUCAACUGAUCCAUGGUAAACAGUAAGGCCACCUUUCGCGAGAAGUACUAGAUCAUUGAACGUUUUGAACAAAGUAUAACUGCAACAAAGAAACAUGAAUUAAAAACUUCAUGGUAAAGAUAUUUCCCUAAAGCAAAACUUGUGUUUCAAGAUACCUUGGUUGGUGAACAACCAUGCAAAUAUUGACUCCCUCGAGGGCCUCAUGCCGAAGUGCUCUAAGAAGAAGUUGUGAUGAGGCACUAUCUAAGCCAGAAGUAGGCUCAUCCAAGAAUAAAACCGAAGGCUCCAUUACCAUUUCUAAACCCACAUUGACUCGUUUCUUCUGCCCACCUGAGAUUCCUCGCUUCUCUACUGUACCAACUAAAGAGUUCCUCACAGCUUGCAGCCCCAAAGAGUCAAUGAUUCUUUCAACCACAAGAACUUUGUCUGCUUUCGAUAGACCCGCAGGUAAUCUGCAUUUAGCAUGGAACCAAAAAUUUUCUUCUACUGUCAAGUUUCCAUGAACAACGUCAUCUUGUGGCACGAAACCAAUAAUCUUUUUAUACGAAUGGAUUGAAUCCGGUUUCCCGUUUAUAAGCAUCGAACCACUCAAUUUGCAUCCAACAGCUUUCCCAGCCAAAGCGUUAAGAAGACUUGUCUUCCCUGCUCCUGAUGGACCCAUCACAGCUGUGAUCCGACCAGGUUGCAUGGUUCCUGUGACACAUCUCAACACAUGCUUACCAUUGGACUUCAAAGUAAGAGUCAAAUCUUUAAAAGAAAGCUCUAAGAGAGGUCUCUUCCUCGUCUCAGUAUUAGUAGCCAUUGAAACUAUUCCUGAGAAGUUCAUAUUACUAUUCUCUUGCUCCAUGGAUUUCUCCUUCUCGAUCCGAUCAUACGCAUACUUGUAGAUUUGGGUGCGUGUUUUUUUAGUUUUAGGCAA